GAUGAACGCUGGCGGCGUGCUUAACACAUGCAAGUCGAACGAAGCACUCUACUUGAUUUCCUUCGGGAUUGAUUGUUCUGUGACUGAGUGGCGGACGGGUGAGUAACGCGUGGAUAACCUGCCUCACACAGGGGGAUAACAGUUGGAAACGGCUGCUAAUACCGCAUAAGCGCACAGCACCGCAUGGUGCAGUGUGAAAAACUCCGGUGGUGUGAGAUGGAUCCGCGUCUGAUUAGCUUGUUGGCGGGGUAACGGCCCACCAAGGCGACGAUCAGUAGCCGGCCUGAGAGGGCGACCGGCCACAUUGGGACUGAGACACGGCCCAGACUCCUACGGGAGGCAGCAGUGGGGAAUAUUGCACAAUGGGGGAAACCCUGAUGCAGCGACGCCGCGUGAGCGAUGAAGUAUUUCGGUAUGUAAAGCUCUAUCAGCAGGGAAGAUAAUGACGGUACCUGACUAAGAAGCU
This 466-nucleotide ribosomal RNA is filed under the name uncultured bacterium. RNAcentral's name for it is "bacterial SSU rRNA". It matches the Rfam family "Bacterial small subunit ribosomal RNA", at positions 28 to 492 of the family's 1533-position model. The record is from RNAcentral.